CUUGGGGACUUCCCUGCUGGUGCAGUGGUUAAGACUCUGUGCUCCAGAUGCAGGGAGCCCAGGUUCAAUCCCUGGUCAGGGAACUAGAUCCCACAUGCAUGUUGCAACUAAGAGUUUGCAUGCCACAACUAAGGAGCCCUUGAGCCACAACUAAGGAGCCUGCCUGCUGCAACUAAGACCCAGUGCAACCAAAUAAAUAUGUAAAUAUUAAAAAAAAAAUUUAGGUGCUCUUACAUUGGGUGCAUAAAUAUUUACAAAUGUUAUAUCCUUUUGGUGAACUGACCUCUACAUAAUUACAUAAUGACCUUCUUUGUCUAUUGUUACAGCCUUUGGCUUAAAAUCUACUUUGUCUGAUAAAAGUAUAGCUACCUCUGCUAUCUUUUGGCUUCUGUUUGCAUGGAAUAUUUUUUCCUUCCCUUUGCAUUGUAGAAAAAAUUUUCAAUAUUACCGUAUUUUUAUUUGUCUAAUUUGGGAUGUUGCCUUGUCGCGGUGGCAGCGAGGGGUUAAAAGGGAAACUGUCUUCAUGCAUGCACAGAGGGCGUGAUAUUGACUGAAGAUGAGGGCAACAAUUUCUCAGUGUGUUUGCACCGGCUGAGGCUGGCCUGUGGAAGCGCAUUCCGGUCCCUGGAACCAGCCAAGCACGGGCCAGGAGGAGUGUUGGGGAGGGAGGAAUCGGUCCCCUCCCUGGCAGUCAUACCUGACCCAGGGACGUUCGAAAAAAAUAGAGCCUGGUCCCCAGUCCACAGUCUGUGGCCCCAAGUGGAGAAAUGUGCACCAGGAGGAUCGGGUCCGGUAAUGAAUAUCUGCCCAGCGAUCCCAAUGCGUGCUACUCACUUGACUUGCCGGUUGUCUCCUCCUUUUGCUUUGAAUCUGGUUUCUCCUGAAAGCUAAAGUGAGUCUCUUUGGGGCAGCAUAUUUAUGGGUCAUGUUUUUUUUUUUUUUUUUUAAUCUGUUCAGCCACUCUGUGUCUUGUCUUUUUUAUUGAAGUAGAGUUAAUUUACAAUGUUGUGUUAGUUUCAAGUGUGCAGAAAAGUGAUUCAGUUCACUCUGUGUGUUUUAAUCUGAGAAUUGAGCCUGUUUACAUUUACAGUAACGAUUGAUAGGUAUGGACUUACAAUUGCCAUUUUAUUAAUUGUUUUCUGAUGGUUUUGUAAUUCCUUUGUUUUUUCCUCUGUACGACUGUUACUUUGAACUCUCAGGUAAGUCACUUAUUUCCAUUUCAUUAAGGUCUGUGUCUGGAGUUUUAUCUUGUUCUUUUGUUUGGAACAUAGUUCAUUGUUUCUUCAUUUUCCUUGACUGUCUGUGUUGGUUUCUGUACUUUAAACAGCCACCUCUCCCAGUCUUGACAGAGUGGCCACAUGCGAGAGAUGAACUUAGCCCAGCCCAAGCUUUUGGUUGCUUCUAGAACCUUUGUGACAGUCCAAGCUGCCUUCUUUGUUCUUGGUGCUUCUUAGUAGUUAAGGGUGUGUCAAGACUGGUCAUUGUCCCAGUAGAGAGGAUCACAGUCAGCACCUAGAUGCAGGUCAGUUGGAAGCUGAACCCUCAGAUGGGAAAGUGUGUAGUUAGGCCCUUUGCUGGGAUAAACUGGGAGAUACGGGUUUUUGCCUGCUCCCUCUGCACUUGGCCUGGGUGUAUAGCUGCAGGGGGUGCUCCUGUGCCUGUUAAGAGCUGCUGCUUUGUUUGCUACAGUCCUGUAGGACUUGUGAAUGCAAGCCCUAGUGGUCAUCAGAGCCAGACAGUCUGGGGAUCUGUCCCUUGGCUGGCAGCUGCUAAAGCUGGAGCACAGAUGUGUGUAUCAGCUCCUUCCUGGGAGAUACUGGUGAUUUGGAGUAGGCUAGAGGGAGCAGGCAGAGGAGGUAUUCAGUGGACUCCUUGGUCUCUGGGGAGGAUGGCAGUCAGCCCUUAGAUGUGUGCUAAAUUAGAAGCCUGACUCCGGCAGCAGCUUUUAAUAUAUGCAAAUAGAGCCUUUUCAGGGAAAGACUAGGAGCUGGUGGGUCCUCUAGAGCUGGGUAAGAACUGUUAAAGUCUUGUGGGUUUCUUGCCUGUAGGUCCUAAAAUUAGGUGUUUUGGGUGGGGGUGGGGAUCCAUUCCUUAGGUGGAAGUCUUAAAAGUUGGGGUGCUAGGUGUGGGGUCCAAACCCUUUGUUCUUCAGGGAGAACGCUGGAGUUGGGAGUGCCCACCUGAGUGUAUGGUGCUGUGCUGGAGUUAGGGUUCAUGGUGAGAAUAUGAGCCUUUUCUGCCCGUUUCGACGGGUAUUUUCUUGUUUGCUAGCUGUGUAAGAGCAGUUCAGCUAGUUUUUAAUUUUUUUUUUUUCAGAAAAACUUGCUCCUUGUGCAGUAGUAUAUUCGGUAUGUCCACGGGAGGAAGGGGCGUUGAGGAGACUCCUGUGUCACUGUCUUAGACCUAAACCUUCAGCAUUUCAGAUGGUCGUACCGUCUCAGAUGCCUGUGAAUACAGCUUGCAAAAUGUGAGACGCUCCCCUGCAGGCUGCCUGCUCCUGCCUGCGCGAGACCCUCUGAACUGAGUCUACUUAAAUCUUCCCCAGACAGAGUCUGACAAGACCAAUGAAAACAGUUCUCUUCCAUUUCAUCUUCAGUGCUCGUUUUCAUCACUGAAAUUAGUUAUCAAGCAAGGAAAAAUGACGGAAAAUGCAAGUAUUCCAAAGUUUUAAUACUUCACUUAGAGAUACUGUUCAAAGUUUCAGGAAACUGUGUUUCAGUGUAUGCUCACCAAUGUCAGUAAAUAACUGAAUCCUUUCCAAAAGGUGGAAAUAGCCAGAUCUCAUUAUUUUGUAGUUCAUGUACGGUAAGUCAUUUCAUUAAUCUACCAUGCAAAAUGAGUCGACUGAAGCGAUUUACAAAUUACUGUAACAAAACUGCAGAAACCUAGACUCUGCUUUAGUCUGGGGGUCAGUGAUAUUUCACGCUACUGCGUACAGCUCUCUAAAGCUCCUUAUUGGCCUUAUGCAACUUAGAACUUAGUGCAGCAAUCUUCCCGACUCUUAAACUUCAAAACCGCAUAGUUAUAUGUAGUAGCCAUCAUGUAGAUCAGCUGGUGGAAGAGAACAGAACAGGAGAGUAAGAUACAGGCAGUGAGGGCCGGUGCCCUGACGCUUCUAAACUCGGGCGGGGAUGGGCUCUAGCUCAGAGCCUGAGGUGUUUCUUUUUUCCCAUUGAUAAUCACAGGAGAAGAUUUUCAUAUCUGGCACACACACGUUCUUGGCGUUUCACAUAUGAGUCCUCUGCUCUCCCCCUCCAUAUGCUUAUGAAAAAGACUGGAUAUAUUUAAAAAAUAACGGAGAGAGCUGGGUGAGGAAGAUGAGGGAAAAAGCCCUGCUUCCCCUCAUCUUUCCUUUCCCAAACUGCCCGCUCAGCAGCUGUUCGUCCUCUGCCUGCCUUGUGCUCAGUGAACAGGUCACCACCGUGAUGUAAGGGUGGUUCUCUCCUCGGCUGCAGUGGGAUGACAUCAAGGUUGGAAAAACUGGGAAGGACUCAUUUCUGAGCACGUGAGUUUUCCCCUUCACUCUACCAGUCUUAGCUUUCUUGCCACCAGAAGCCAAGCCCUCCUGACUUAUAUAUACAUGCAGCUUCCAUAUCUGUGAAUUUGCCUUCAUGCUGAAAGUUCUCUGUAACUCCCAGGUCAGGACUCAGCACUGCGGCGGCCACUUGGACAUGCAGAGUAGGGGAAAAGCUGAGGCUACCAAGGCAACACUGCCUUCCUGUGGCAGCUCUCAGUCUAUAAACAAGCGUCCUUUUCACACUCGAUUUAGUGCCAUGUGUUUUGCAUUUCUGUGCUUCCACUCUUGACCCGUUCCCUCACUGCUGAAGGGCUGUCUAGUGCUCCUACGCGCAGGAAGGCUGCCAGGGAGGGGCCUUACCGAGCAAAUAUGUGUUAAACAUAAACAAGCUUCAUUCAGGUUUGAGUUACAGUGCUAUUAUUGGCCAUGAGUUCACGGUCAUGAAUCAGCAAUAUAUACUCCGUAAACAGAAGCAAACGGAUUGUUUCCAUAGAAGCCAAAUUUCAUCACCUACCAUGGAUUUCAAGACCACCACCUCAUACUUCCUGCGAGCUAGACAUGGGGGUUAAGUUUACACAGGGGAAACAACCAAGGUCGAGUCCCAGGCUUGAUGGCUGGAAGGGAAAUCUGUUAUUGAAAUCUGUUAUUGUUACGACUGCAGGGGGGACUGCACUAGGCCCAUCCUGGGACCAGUACUCACCAGGGCAAUGACGGUGGCGCCAGCUCCCGCACAAGCCACGAUGAACAGGUGAUAGGACAUGUAGAACUAGAAAAGAACAGGGCACAGACGUGAGCAUUCUGUGUGGAAGGAAAUGGCCUGCACUGUUCCAGGCGUGGCUGCCUCUUUCUCCCCAGGGCUGUUUGCUGAAGGCUGGGUGCACAUUGGAAUCAUCUGGGGGGCUUUCAAAACUUCCUGAGGCCCAGGCUGUACCCCAGGCCCAUUACGUCGGAAUAGCUGGCAGCUGGGCCCCACCAUCAGGCUAUUAGAAUACUCCUGCAACCUGCGGCCCAGAUCCUGGAUAUACACGCUGAGCAGCCAGGUAGGCAGGCCCUGAUUAUUUCGGUGGCUCGUCAGGAUUCUCCUGAACAUGCAAGCUCCCACUAGUGCAUCUGAGAAUCUGCUCUUAUAAACAGUUAUAAACCAAUGCCUGAAGACUGUUCUAGGGCAGAGAGAUUUUAAACCAUAGUGUGUCAGCAUUUAUUGCCAAUCAAGGAUGAACAAGAAAUAGCAGCAACUCAAUCUGGAAGCAUAAGCCUAAGUGACAAUGUAUAAAAAUUUGGUUGUAGACAAAUUCAGGGCAGUCUUCUCUGAAAAGUUACAUUGGUUCUGUGACAAAUGUGCUACUUUGAAAACACCUCUGAAGGUGGAAGGGAAGAUGUGACAUACAUUCAGAUUUGCAGGGCUGGGAUCACGCUAAUGAUUGCCAAAAGAGCAAGUGCUCCGAUGGCGCGGGGUUGUCGCUCAGCAGGCGGGGCGGGGCCACAGGGCUAGCUUCUAGGUCAAAAAUGGCAGCACAGAGCCCUCUCUUGCGCUCUCUCUCUCCCUGGGAGAACCCUUUGUCUCAGCCCAAGGUGCCCAGUGGUCACCUAGGAGCCCGCUUAGGGGGCAGGGUUUACCUCAUUCGUGUUGCAGAUGUUCUCCAGGGCCGAGCCGCAUAUUCUUCCUGGGAAAGCAUUCCAAGGAAUGAUACCUGGGAAGCGAGUCCCCACAGCAGGUUAGUGAUUGGUGCAAACUCCAGCACCCCUGCUCUCAGUGGGCCCCACCACUUUCAAGGGCAGUUACAACACAAUCACAGGCCAGCUUCUUCGACAGCUGAUAACUGAUGUAUCUACUCCCCACAGAAUAAGCUUUUUGGAAUAAUAAAAAAAUCCUGUUUCGACACAGAGCAAGAGCAAAGUCAACUCGUCCAUAAGAGAAUUAGACAACUCAAUUUUUUGCCCUACACAUUAUGCUUUGGUUAGUCGAGCUGAUAUUCAUAAACUCGAGCUCAACAGCUGCAGGACAACUCCCCUCAGAAGGUGUUUCCUCCUCCUGAAGCCAAACACGUCUUCCCCCGCUGCGUUUCAAGGUCUGCGGUCUCACUCCUCAAGCUCUGUGUCGGUGGUCCGCCCCAACUCCAUUCGGAAAUUGGGAGGCUCUGCUCAGAAAGGUUCACGUCAGUUCGGCAGAGUAAUUUAUGUGUCUGUUCUGUCAUCUGGAUUUCCAUUUUGUAUGUCUUUGCUUUUCUAUUCAUUUUUGUUGUGUGUUUCAGGUAUCUCGGAAAUACUUCUGGGUUGAAACUCCAAUUGGAAAACCACUGUCCUUCCCCACAGAGAGCAGGGCCAGUGCAGCCUGCAGUGUCUCACUGUACCCGACGCCCCACUUCAGUCACCUCGUCCAUGCAGCUGUUGCUGCUCAUGCCUAGGUGUGAGCGUACAUAAGAAACAUAGCUCGAGUUCGUCUCCCAGGAGGGAAGUCGGGUCUACGGUAAUGGACAGAAGGCGCCCUGGCCCCUUCUGGGCCUGUCAAGACGAACCAAGCUUAGCUGCCUUAGCUGCUUAGGGUGAGGAUCCCACUCCUUAGCAAAUACGUUUGAACAGGUUUCCAACAGGCGCCUUUGAUAGGAUAGAGUACCUUCUGAGGCCUUUAAAAUACACCUGGAUUUUAUGUUUUGUUUCUCAACAUUAAAGCUACUGGUCAUUUUAAAAAGGCCUGAUUUGAAGAGUUGAAUGUGCAGAUUGAUUGGAUGAUACACACUGCAUGCGAUAUUCUGGAUGGAAAAUUGUAUGGUACAAAACUGAAAAGACAUAUAUACUCUUUUUAGAGUGAACAUCCAGAGGUCUUUUUUGAUCGAACUUCAUUAUGAAGUAGCUUUACAUUAUAAAAAGUUUCUUUUACUGUGUACUGAACUUGAAGAUACAACUAUUUUGAAUGACACUUUUUAGGACCCAAGAGCCUAACGGAUGUUUCCAUCCAGAAAAUAGAGCACAUUGAGGGAAAGAGUAUAAACUCUUCUGAUAGAAGGGAUGAAAUAGACGCCCCUGUAAUAACUGAGGCCCAGACGUAUGCACAAGAGGCUACCAGUGGGUUGGGGGCACCAAGAGGAAGUACCGUAUUGCCGGAUGUCCACGCAGAUCUGCUCCAC
Hippopotamus amphibius kiboko is the source of this 6642-nucleotide long non-coding RNA. RefSeq lists it as uncharacterized. The record is from RefSeq and is a predicted model, not a curated record. Lineage: Eukaryota; Metazoa; Chordata; Mammalia; Artiodactyla; Hippopotamidae. The transcript has 4 exons.